GACGAACGCUGGCGGCGUGCCUAACACAUGCAAGUCGAGCGGGGUAUGUGGAGCAGCUUGCUGCACCAUAUACCUAGCGGCGGACGGGUGAGUAACGCGUGAGUAACCUACCUUGUACUGGGGGAUAACAGCCGGAAACGGCUGCUAAUACCGCAUAAGACCACAUUGCCGCAUGGCGAAGUGGUCAAAGUGGCUUAACCGGUACAAGAUGGGCUCGCGUCCCAUUAGCUAGUUGGUGAGGUAACGGCUCACCAAGGCGACGAUGGGUAGCCGGCCUGAGAGGGUGUACGGCCACACUGGGACUGAGACACGGCCCAGACUCCUACGGGAGGCAGCAGUGGGGGAUAUUGCGCAAUGGGGGGAACCCUGACGCAGCGACGCCGCGUGAGCGAAGAAGGUCUUCGGAUCGUAAAGCUCUGUCAUCGGGGACGAAUAAAUGACGGUACCCGAAGAGGAAGCCCCGGCUAACUACGUGCCAGCAGCCGCGGUAAUAUGUAGGGGGCGAGCGUUGUCCGAAUUACUGGGCGUAAGGGGUGCGUAGGCGGUCUGUCAAGUCAGGUGUGAAAUACCACGGCUCACCU
Molecule: ribosomal RNA, 581 nt
Filed under: uncultured bacterium
Lineage: Bacteria
Description: bacterial SSU rRNA
Rfam family: Bacterial small subunit ribosomal RNA
Source: RNAcentral